ACGCACGCUGGCGGCGCGCCUAACCCAUGCACGUCGAACGAGCGAGAGAGAGCUUGCUUUCUUGAGCGAGUGGCGAACGGGUGAGUAACGCGUGAGGAACCUGCCUCAAAGAGGGGGACAACAGUUGGAAACGACUGCUAAUACCGCAUAAGCCCACGGUGCCGCAUGGCACAGAGGGAAAAGGAGCAAUCCGCUUUGAGAUGGCCUCGCGUCCGAUUAGCUAGUUGGUGAGGUAACGGCCCACCAAGGCGACGAUCGGUAGCCGGACUGAGAGGUUGAACGGCCACAUUGGGACUGAGACACGGCCCAGACUCCUACGGGAGGCAGCAGUGGGGAAUAUUGCACAAUGGGGGAAACCCUGAUGCAGCGACGCCGCGUGGAGGAAGAAGGUCUUCGGAUUGUAAACUCCUGUUGUUGGGGAAGAUAAUGACGGUACCCAACAAGGAAGUGACGGCUAACUACGUG
This 465-nucleotide ribosomal RNA is filed under the name uncultured bacterium. RNAcentral's name for it is "partial 16S ribosomal RNA". It matches the Rfam family "Bacterial small subunit ribosomal RNA", at positions 29 to 507 of the family's 1533-position model. The record is from RNAcentral.